GGUAAGAUGGCUGAGAGUCAAGCGGCGGAUUGUAGCUUCGUGCAUAGAGGUUAAAUUCCUCUUCUUAUCA
RNAcentral lists this transfer RNA (70 nucleotides) under Cephaloscyllium umbratile (blotchy swell shark). RNAcentral describes it as "tRNA-Tyr". It matches the Rfam family "tRNA". Rfam says of the family: Transfer RNA (tRNA) molecules are approximately 80 nucleotides in length. Their secondary structure includes four short double-helical elements and three loops (D, anti-codon, and T loops). Lineage: Eukaryota; Metazoa; Chordata; Chondrichthyes; Carcharhiniformes; Scyliorhinidae. The record is from RNAcentral.